Molecule: long non-coding RNA, 295 nt
Filed under: Gossypium raimondii (Peruvian cotton)
Lineage: Eukaryota; Viridiplantae; Streptophyta; Magnoliopsida; Malvales; Malvaceae
Description: long non-coding RNA (GRAI_LNC004870)
Source: RNAcentral
UUUGGUUGUUUUUCUUUCGGAUUUUCGGCUAUAUAAGGUCGAUUUAAAUUUGUAAAAGGAAAAAAAGGGGGAGAGAAAAAAUACAAAGAAGGGACUGAUACGAAAUAGAUACAGAAAUUUUUCGAAUAUAUAAGGUGUUUUUUCCAUUUUUCAUCUUUCUUAGAUUCGUUUUGUUAUUUUUUUUUCUUUUAGCUUUUUUAUUUUAUUUUUCAUUUUUAUUGUAUUUUAUUUUUUAUUUCUCCCAUUGUUGAUCGCGCAUUCAUGUUGGUCCCUUUUUAUUUAUUGCGAAUCUGCC